Molecule: ribosomal RNA, 435 nt
Filed under: uncultured soil bacterium
Lineage: Bacteria
Description: bacterial SSU rRNA
Rfam family: Bacterial small subunit ribosomal RNA
Source: RNAcentral
AGAUUGAACGCUGGCGGCAUGCCUAACACAUGCAAGUCGAACGGGAGUAGCAAUACUCUAGUGGCGGACGGGUGAGGAAUACGUAGGAAUUUGCCCUUAAGUGGGGGAUAACCCGGGGGAAACCCGAUUAAUACCGCAUGACCUCGAAAGAGCAAAGUGGGGGAUCGCAAGACCUCACGCUUUUGGAGAAGCCUACGUCGGAUUAGCUAGUUGGUGAGGUAAUGGCUCACCAAGGCGACGAUACCCGUAACUGGGUACUGAGAGGAUGAUCAGUCACACCGGACUGAGACACGGUCCGGACUCCGUACGGGAGGCACGCGAGUGGGGGAAUAUUGGACAUGGGCGUCAAGGCCUGAUCCAGCAAUGCCGCGUAGUCGUAGGAAGAACGGCCGUUUACGGGUUACGUAAAGGUCUAACGUUUAAAGGUUAGGGAAA